RNAcentral lists this ribosomal RNA (219 nucleotides) under uncultured bacterium. Its description in RNAcentral is "partial 16S ribosomal RNA". It matches the Rfam family "Bacterial small subunit ribosomal RNA", at positions 28 to 255 of the family's 1533-position model. The record is from RNAcentral.
GACGAACGCUGGCGGCGUGCCUAAAACAUGCAAGUCGAACGGAGUAGCAAUACUCAGUGGCGAACGGCGGAGUAAUACAUAAGCAACGUGCCCUAAAGCCUGGGAUAGCCAGGGGAAACUCUGAGUAACACCAGAUGUGAUCGCGACUCGGCAUCGAGAUGCGAUUUAAACGGUUUUUCGUCUUUAGGAGCGGCUUAUGGCCUAUCAGGUAGUUGGUGA